RNAcentral lists this ribosomal RNA (70 nucleotides) under Pityogenes chalcographus (six-toothed spruce bark beetle). RNAcentral's name for it is "partial 5.8S ribosomal RNA". Lineage: Eukaryota; Metazoa; Arthropoda; Insecta; Coleoptera; Curculionidae. The record is from RNAcentral.
UGCGGUCCUCGGAUUCUGUUCCCGGACCACUCCUGGCUGAGGGUCGUGUCUAUUUCAAAGACUGCUCGGU